This 1982-nucleotide ribosomal RNA is filed under the name human gut metagenome. Its description in RNAcentral is "bacterial LSU rRNA". It matches the Rfam family "Bacterial large subunit ribosomal RNA", at positions 3 to 2002 of the family's 2925-position model. The record is from RNAcentral.
UCAAGCUACUAAGGGCAUACGGCGGAUGCCUAGGCGCCAUCAGCCGAUGAAGGACGCGGUAAGCUGCGAAAAGCUACGGGGAACUGCAAGCAAGUAUUGAUCCGUAGAUGUCCGAAUGGGGAAACCCACCUGCCGUCAUGGGCAGGUAUCCGAAAGGAAGGGAACCCGGGGAACUGAAACAUCUAAGUACCCGGAGGAAGAGAAAUCAAACGAGAUGCCCACAGUAGCGGCGAGCGAAGAGGGCAGAGGGCAAACCGAGGAGCUACGGCUCUUCGGGGUUGAGGACUGCAUUUAGUCUUAAUGGUUUAUCCGAACUACCUGGAAAGGUAGGCAACACAGUGUAAAAGCCACGUAGGUUAAAGACCAAAGAGAUGAGCAGUAUCCAGAGUACCACGAGGCACGAGGAAUCUUGUGGGAAGCCGGGGGGACCACCCUCCAACCCUAAACACUGAAUGGCGACCGAUAGCGCAUAGUACCGUGAGGGAAAGGUGAAAAGAACCCCGGGAGGGGAGUGAAAGAGAACCUGAAACCGUAUGUCUACAAGCAGUCGGAGCGAAAGCGACGGCGUGCCUAUUGAAGAAUGAACCAACGAGUUACGUGCACUAGCGAGGUUAAGUGGAAGACACGGAGCCGAAGCGAAAGCGAGUCUUAAGAGGGCGGAUAGUUAGUGUACGUAGACCCGAAACCGCAGUGAUCUACCCAUGUCCAGGUUGAAGCGCAGGUAAAAUUGCGUGGAGGACCGAACCUGUGAGCGUUGAAAAGCUUUAGGAUGAGAUGUGGGUAGAGGUGAAAUUCCAAUCGAACGCGGAGAUAGCUGGUUCUCCCCGAAAUAGCUUUAGGGCUAGCCUCAAGUAGUAAGUAUAGGCGGUAGAGCACUGAUCGGGCUAGGGGCCAUAAAGGUUACCGAACCCUGUCAAACUCCGAAUGGUUAUACUGUAGAGCUUGGGAGUCAGACUACGAGUGAUAAGAUCCGUGGUCAAAAGGGAAACAGCCCAGACCACCAGCUAAGGUCCCCAAUGUCGUACUAAGUGGAAAAGGAUGUGGGGUCUCUAAAACAACCAGGAUGUUGGCUUAGAAGCAGCCACCAUUUAAAGAGUGCGUAAUAGCUCACUGGUCGAGAGACCCUGCGCCGAAGAUUACCGGGGCUAAAGUACGAAACCGAAGCUGUGGCUACGACUUAGGUCGUGGGGUAGGGGAGCGUUCUGUGAGGGCUGAAGUCGUUCUGUAAGGAACGGUGGACUUCACAGAAGUGAGAAUGUUGGUAUGAGUAGCGAAAAGAAUGGUGAGAAUCCAUUCCACCGAAAGCAUAAGGAUUCCUGGGCAACGAUCGUCGUCCCAGGGUAAGUCGGGACCUAAUCCGAGGCAUGGAGCGUAGGAGAUGGACAACUGGCAGAUAUUCCAGUACCGGUAAUGAUUGUUUGAGCGAUGGAGUGACACAGGAGGGCAGGCAGGCAGGAGAUUGGUUGUUCCUGUACAAGCGUGUAGGAUGGGACGUAGGCAAAUCCGCGUCCUGUGAGUCUGAGGCGUGAUGUGGAGGUUCCGGAAACGGAACUGAAGCUGCUGACCCCACACUGUCGAGAAAAGCUUCUAGUUAGAGAAUUACCGCCCGUACCGUAAACCGACACAGGUAUGCGGGGAGAGAAUCCUAAGGUGCGCGGGAGAACCCUCGUUAAGGAACUCGGCAAAAUGUACCCGUAACUUCGGGAUAAGGGUAGCCGCUGUUGUGAAGUCUGAACAGAUGGAGCAUGAGGCGGUCGCAGAGAAGAGGCCCAAGCGACUGUUUACCACAAACACAGGUGCCUGCUAAAGAGAAAUCUGACGUAUAGGUGCUGACACCUGCCCAGUGCCGGAAGGUUAAGGAAGGAUGUCCGGAGCAAUCCAAAGCAUUCGACCGAAGCCCCGGUGAACGGCGGCCGUAACUAUAACGGUCCUAAGGUAGCGAAAUUCCUUGUCGGGUAAGUUCCGACCCGCACGAAAGGUGU